Molecule: ribosomal RNA, 253 nt
Filed under: uncultured bacterium
Lineage: Bacteria
Description: partial 16S ribosomal RNA
Rfam family: Bacterial small subunit ribosomal RNA
Source: RNAcentral
UACGUAGGGGGCAAGCGUUAUCCGGAUUUAUUGGGUGUAAAGGGUGCGUAGACGGGAAGGCAAGUUGGUUGUGAAAUCCCUCGGCUUAACUGAGGAACUGCAACCAAAACUAUCUUUCUUGAGUGCUGGAGAGGAAAGUGGAAUUCCUAGUGUAGCGGUGAAAUGCGUAGAUAUUAGGAGGAACACCAGUGGCGAAGGCGACUUUCUGGACAGUAACUGACGUUGAGGCACGAAAGUGUGGGGAGCAAACAGG